Long non-coding RNA from Mustela erminea (ermine), 327 nucleotides. RefSeq lists it as uncharacterized. NCBI's taxonomy places the organism in Eukaryota, Metazoa, Chordata, Mammalia, Carnivora, Mustelidae. The record is from RefSeq and is a predicted model, not a curated record. The transcript has 3 exons.
CUCUCCCCUCACCUGGCUCUGUCUUGCUGCUUGGAUAAUCUCGGUUGUCCUGAAGAAGGUUGCAGAAAAAAUGGCACUUCCUGGAAAUUCCAGAUGUGGGAAGGGCAAAGAGGCUGGAGAACUGAAGCAGAGAGACCUCCUUUCUUCCCGGGGCGGGGGACCCAGUUCAGCUUCAAGUCCUGCCCGGAUGUGCGGUGGAUUUGCUGUAAUCCCAAAUUAAUGCUCGGAGACACUCACUGAGGAUAGCCACGACAAAAAUAGGUAACAGGGGUGCUCACUCUGCUCCCAGGACCUCUUCAAGCCCUUUACAUAGCUCAUCCCAUUUAA